Molecule: ribosomal RNA, 253 nt
Filed under: uncultured bacterium
Lineage: Bacteria
Description: partial 16S ribosomal RNA
Rfam family: Bacterial small subunit ribosomal RNA
Source: RNAcentral
CACGUAGGGGACGAGCGUUGUCCGGAUUCAUUGGGCGUAAAGCGCGCGUAGGCGGCCUGGUAAGUCGGAUGUGAAAACCUGGGGCUCAACCCCAGGCGUGCACCCGAUACUGCCGGGCUGGAGGCAGGUAGGGGAGAUCGGAAUUCCUGGUGUAGCGGUGAAAUGCGCAGAUAUCAGGAGGAACACCGGUGGCGAAGGCGGUUCUCUGGGCCUUACCUGACGCUGAGGAGCGAAAGCGUGGGGAGCGAACAGG